UCAGACGAUGCGUCAUGCAUAUCAAUAAGCGGAGGAAAAGAAACUAACAAGGAUUCCCCUAGUAACGGCGAGUGAAGCGGGAAGAGCUCAAAUUUGAAAUCUUAAAGGGUUUCCCUUUACGAAUUGUAGUUUAAAGAAGUGUUUUCUGUUGAGGUUUUGGUAAAAGUUCUUUGGAAUAGGACAUCAUAGAGGGUGAGAAUCCCGUAUUUGACCUUUACUUUCAACUUUGUGAUACACUUUCAAAGAGUCGGAUUGUUUGGGAAUGCAGUCCAAAAUGGGUGGUAAAUUUCAUCUAAAGCUAAAUAUUGGCGAGAGACCGAUAGCGAACAAGUACCGUGAGGGAAAGAUGAAAAGAACUUUGAAAAGGAGAGUUAAACAGUACGUGAAAUUGUCAAAAGGGAAGCGUUUGACACCAGUGUUGUUUUUCUGAAAAUCAAUUAAAGAACUGUUUAUGCUAAGUUGUUUAGACUUUAUCAGCUAACUGUUUAGUUUUGAGCUUUUCUUUAAUGCACUUUUCAGUUAACAAGUCAACAUCAAUUUCUUUUGCUGUAAAAAAGCUUGAGGAAGGUGGCUUGAGAUUCGUCUUAAGUGUUUAUAGCCUCUUGCCUAUGCAGUCGGAGAGAUUGAGGUCUGCAGCGUAGAUCCUUCGGGGCUAAAUGCAUUUGUGCUAAGUUAUAGCAUUUUAUAGACAACUUGUUGACUAUGAUUUGUCUUGUAGCUUACUCGCUUAUGUUAUUUUACCUACGCUUAGGAUGUUGAGCGCAUGUCUCUCUCU
Molecule: ribosomal RNA, 775 nt
Filed under: uncultured Neocallimastigales
Lineage: Eukaryota; Fungi; Neocallimastigomycota; Neocallimastigomycetes; Neocallimastigales
Description: partial large subunit ribosomal RNA
Rfam family: Eukaryotic large subunit ribosomal RNA
Source: RNAcentral